GCCACGGCCAUACCAGCCUGGGUACGCCCGAUCUCGUCUGAUCUCGGAAGCUAAGCAGGAUCGGGCCUGGUUAGUACUUGAUGGGAGAACCCCCUGGGAAUACCAGGUGCUGUAAGCA
This 118-nucleotide ribosomal RNA is filed under the name Salmo salar (Atlantic salmon). Lineage: Eukaryota; Metazoa; Chordata; Actinopteri; Salmoniformes; Salmonidae. The record is from RNAcentral.